AUCGAACGCUGGCGGAAUGCUUUACACAUGCAAGUCGAACGGCAGCACGGACUUCGGUCUGGUGGCGAGUGGCGAACGGGUGAGUAACAUAUCGGAACGUAUCCAAUAAUGGGGGAUAACGAGUCGAAAGAUUCGCUAAUACCGCAUACGCCCUACGGGGGAAAGCUGGGGACCUUCGGGCCUGGCGUUAAUGGAGCGGCCGAUAUCUGAUUAGCUAGUUGGUGAGGUAAAGGCUCACCAAGGCGACGAUCAGUAGCUGGUCUGAGAGGACGACCAGCCACACUGGAACUGAGACACGGUCCAGACUCCUACGGGAGGCAGCAGUGGGGAAUUUUGGACAAUGGACGCAAGUCUGAUCCAGCCAUUCCGCGUGCAGGAUGAAGGCCCUCGGGUUGUAAACUGCUUUUGUACGGAACGAAAAGGUCUCUCUUAAUACGGGGGACUCAUGACGGUACCGUAAGAAUAAGCACCGGCUAACUACGUGCCGGCCGCCGCCGUAA
Molecule: ribosomal RNA, 500 nt
Filed under: uncultured bacterium
Lineage: Bacteria
Description: partial 16S ribosomal RNA
Rfam family: Bacterial small subunit ribosomal RNA
Source: RNAcentral